CGGUGACAGGUGGUGCAUUGGUUGUCGUCAGCUCGUGUCGUGAGAUGUUGGGUUAAGUCCCGCAACGAGCGCAACCCCUAUUGUUAGUUGCCAUCAUUCAGUUGGGCACUCUAGCGGAGACUGCCGGUAAUAAACCGGAGGAAGGUGGGAUGACGUCAAAUCAUCAUGCCCCUUAUGACCUGGGCUACACACGUGCUACAAUGGUUGGUACAACGAGUUGCGAGUCGGUGACGGCGAGCUAAUCUCUUAAAGCCAAUCUCAGUUCGGAUUGUAGGCUGCAACUCGCCUACAUGAAGUCGGAAUACGCUAGUAAUCGCGGAUCAGCACGCCGCGGUGAAUACGUUCCCGGGCCUU
Molecule: ribosomal RNA, 354 nt
Filed under: uncultured Streptococcus sp.
Lineage: Bacteria; Bacillati; Bacillota; Bacilli; Lactobacillales; Streptococcaceae
Description: bacterial SSU rRNA
Rfam family: Bacterial small subunit ribosomal RNA
Source: RNAcentral